UGGGGAAUAUUGGACAAUGGGCGAAAGCCUGAUCCAGCCAUGCCGCGUGUGUGAAGAAGGUCUUCGGAUUGUAAAGCACUUUAAGUUGGGAGGAAGGGCAGUAAGCGAAUACCUUGCUGUUUUGACGUUACCGACAGAAUAAGCACCGGCUAACUCUGUGCCAGCAGCCGCGGUAAUACAGAGGGUGCAAGCGUUAAUCGGAAUUACUGGGCGUAAAGCGCGCGUAGGUGGUUCGUUAAGUUGAAUGUGAAAGCCCCGGGCUCAACCUGGGAACUGCAUCCAAAGCUGGCGAGCUAGAGUAGGGCAGAGGGUGGUGGAAUUUCCUGUGUAGCGGUGAAAUGCGGAGAUAUAGGAAGGAACACCAGUGGAGAAGGCGACCACCUGGGCUCAUACUGACACUGAGGUGCGAAAGCGUGGGGAGCAAACAGG
RNAcentral lists this ribosomal RNA (429 nucleotides) under Pseudomonadota bacterium. Its description in RNAcentral is "Proteobacteria bacterium partial 16S ribosomal RNA". It matches the Rfam family "Bacterial small subunit ribosomal RNA", at positions 355 to 776 of the family's 1533-position model. The record is from RNAcentral. Lineage: Bacteria; Pseudomonadati; Pseudomonadota.